RNAcentral lists this long non-coding RNA (237 nucleotides) under Mus pahari (shrew mouse). Its description in RNAcentral is "lncRNA (MGP_PahariEiJ_G0002826.1)". The record is from RNAcentral. Lineage: Eukaryota; Metazoa; Chordata; Mammalia; Rodentia; Muridae.
CAGAAUGCAGAGCCGAGCUGCCAGAAUACAUCUGUGCGUUUACGUUGGCGCCGUGCUGUGGGACAGAGAAUUCAAGUCAAGAGACACGUGGGCCAGAGGCCUCACUUGGCCUGGUGUCAGCUAGGUGAAGGGGACGGACAGGGAUGGAAGCCUCUAACAACUCUUGUGUCUCAGAGACUCUUGUGUCUUCCUCAGAACCCAAGAGUCUAACCUAAUAAAGCUUUUUCUUUUCUUUUC